GAUGAACGCUAGCUACAGGCUUAACACAUGCAAGUCGAGGGGAAACGGCAUCGAAAGCUUGCUUUUGAUGGGCGUCGACCGGCGCACGGGUGAGUAACGCGUAUCCAACCUGCCCAUCACUUGGGAAUAACCUUGCGAAAGUAAGACUAAUGCCCAAUGACAUCCCACGAAGGCAUCCGAAUGGGAUUAAAGAUUUAUCGGUGAUGGAUGGGGAUGCGUCUGAUUAGCUUGUUGGCGGGGUGACGGCCCACCAAGGCAACGAUCAGUAGGGGCUCUGAGAGGAAGGUCCCCCACAUUGGAACUGAGACACGGUCCAAACUCCUACGGGAGGCAGCAGUGAGGAAUAUUGGUCAAUGGGCGAGAGCCUGAACCAGCCAAGUAGCGUGCAGGAUGACGGCCCUAUGGGUUGUAAACUGCUUUUAUAAGGGAAUAAAGUGGGUCACGUGUGACUUUUUGCAUGUACCUGAUGAAUAAGGACCGGCUAAUUCCGUG
This 492-nucleotide ribosomal RNA is filed under the name uncultured bacterium. Its description in RNAcentral is "partial 16S ribosomal RNA". It matches the Rfam family "Bacterial small subunit ribosomal RNA", at positions 28 to 507 of the family's 1533-position model. The record is from RNAcentral.